GCGGCGGUCGUCUAGCCUGGUAGGACACCAGCCUGCCACGCGGGCCCGAGUCGCGGGUUCAAAUCCCGCCCGCCGCA
Molecule: transfer RNA, 77 nt
Filed under: Candidatus Caldarchaeum subterraneum
Lineage: Archaea; Thermoproteati; Nitrososphaerota; Candidatus Caldarchaeales; Candidatus Caldarchaeaceae
Description: Candidatus Caldiarchaeum subterraneum (hot springs metagenome) tRNA-Gly
Rfam family: tRNA
About the family: Transfer RNA (tRNA) molecules are approximately 80 nucleotides in length. Their secondary structure includes four short double-helical elements and three loops (D, anti-codon, and T loops).
Source: RNAcentral